UUUCAGUGAAGUUGUAUGUGCUUAUAAAAAAUAUCGUGCAAACGCCAUGUGGAAUAAGUAAACAUGCGUGGCUUGUAAAAAUGAUUGCACAAAUCUUUAAAACAGAUGGAUGAGGGAAAAAUGUAUGGGUGCAUGAUCCGCUAUAUAUUUUGUAUGUGUAUUCUGUUAUGUUAUAAACGGUGGUUAGUAUUAGGAUACAAUCAAGUUGUUACAUCAACCGAUAAAGAAGCUUCCGAUGAACAGAAAGAAUUGCAACAAGCUCUUUUUCUUGUCGAACUUCUCAAGUCAGAAUACGCUCGAGUUCUACGAGAGAAUAAAGACAUGCACAGCAACAGAGUAUUAUGGGAAGAGGGUGCCAUGACGUGUACCACACCUAAAAGAGGAAAAUUUGAGAGAGCGCCUGCAACACCACAAGUUCAGCAUUGGCCGCGUAGAAUUCCGCCAAUUUUCCCUACUCUACGGAAAUGGAGACGGCGUUUCCCGCAAAUAGAUGCAAACAUAUAUUAUGAUAUUCCAGCUCGAAAUAUUGAAUACAAUGAAGGAUACGGUAUGUAUACCAAC
Molecule: long non-coding RNA, 561 nt
Organism: Vanessa tameamea
Lineage: Eukaryota; Metazoa; Arthropoda; Insecta; Lepidoptera; Nymphalidae
Exons: 5
Source: RefSeq, a predicted model, not a curated record